Molecule: non-coding RNA, 71 nt
Organism: Cordylochernes scorpioides
Lineage: Eukaryota; Metazoa; Arthropoda; Arachnida; Pseudoscorpiones; Chernetidae
Source: the annotation of a GenBank genome assembly
UCUAGUGCCUAGUGGACAUGGCAUCUGCCCAGUAAGCGGAACACUGUGGGUUCGAUUCCCAUCUCACAGAG